AGUGAACGCUGGCGGUAGGCCUAACACAUGCAAGUCGAACGGCAGCACAGUAAGAGCUUGCUCUUACGGGUGGCGAGUGGCGGACGGGUGAGGAAUACAUCGGAAUCUACUUUUUCGUGGGGGAUAACGUAGGGAAACUUACGCUAAUACCGCAUACGACCUACGGGUGAAAGCAUGGGAUCUUCGGACCUUGCGCGAUUGAAUGAGUCGAUGUCGGAUUAGCUAGUUGGCGGGGUAAAGGCCCACCAAGGCGACGAUCCGUAGCUGGUCUGAGAGGAUGAUCAGCCACACUGGAACUGAGACACGGUCCAGAUUCCUACGGGAGGCAGCAGUGGGGAAUAUUGGACAAUGGGCGCAAGCCUGAUCCAGCCAUACCGCGUGGGUGAAGAAGGCCUUCGGGUUGUAAAGCCCUUUUGUUGGGAAAGAAAAGCAGCAGGUUAAUACCCCGCUGUUCUGACGGUACCCAAAGAAUAAGCACCGGCUAACUUCGUG
Molecule: ribosomal RNA, 492 nt
Filed under: uncultured bacterium
Lineage: Bacteria
Description: partial 16S ribosomal RNA
Rfam family: Bacterial small subunit ribosomal RNA
Source: RNAcentral